CCUACGGGUGGCAGCAGUGAGGAAUAUUGGUCAAUGGACGCAAGUCUGAACCAGCCAUGCCGCGUGCAGGAAGACGGUUCAGUGUGUCGUAAACCGCUUUUGUAAGAGGACAAACGCAGAUACGUGUCUCCGUCUGAAUGUACCUUACGAAUAAGCAUCGGCUAACUCCGUGCCAGCAGCCGCGGUAAUACGGAGGAUUCCAGCGUUAUCCGGAUUUAUUGGGUUUAAAGGGUGCGUAGGCGGUCGGAUAAGUUAGAGGUGAAAUCCCGAGGCUCAACUUCGGAAUUGCCUUUGAAACUGGCAGGCUAGAGUGUGGGAGAGGUAGGCGGAAUGCGUGGUGUAGCGGUGAAAUGCAUAGAGAUCAUACAGAACACCGAUUGCGAAGGCAGCAUGCCAGGUUAACACUGACGCUGAGGCACGAAAGCGUGGGUAGCGAACAGGAUUAGAUACCCCGGUAGUC
This 460-nucleotide ribosomal RNA is filed under the name uncultured bacterium. RNAcentral describes it as "partial 16S ribosomal RNA". It matches the Rfam family "Bacterial small subunit ribosomal RNA", at positions 338 to 795 of the family's 1533-position model. The record is from RNAcentral.